CAACAUUGCUGUAUGCUAAUGAACUGACAUCCUCUCCUCUAACUGUAUAUAAGAAAAGCUCAGCAUUCAGAGCAACACUACAUCAACCUCUUCCAACUUCUGCGAGACAAUCUGCUGGAGUGGUAAAGACUUGAAGGUGUGAUCACUGUAACCAUGCUGAAGGUAGUAUUUGUGCUCGGAUGCCUCCUGAGCUUCGCUCUGGCUAAUCCUACGGAUAUGGAGCACAAACGACUUGCUCGGUCAAAGUCUGAUUCUGACUCGAAUUCAAAUGAGGUGAGAAAUCCCUCCUCCCGGCAGCCUACUCGUAACCAGUGGUUCCAGUUCUUGUAUUACUACCUUCAGCAACAACGAACUACUACUGCAGCCACUACUACUACUGCAGCCACUACUACUACUGCAGCCACAACUACUACUACUACUGCAGCCACUACUACUACUGCAGCCACUACUACUACUAAAGCUGCCACUACUCCUACUGCAGCUCCCACUACCCCAGCUCCUAAAACUUAAAAUCCUGACUUUUACCACAGAUCAUUGACCAUUGAUCAUGUAUUGAAUGUAUUACAUUUUUCUCAUAAACAAAACACAGUUGAUGAUCAAUAUUUUAAAUUGAAAUUAUGUUUUCUUAACCAGGGGUGCUUUAACACCUUUUAUUCUAGUUAAAUGUGUGUUUUCCUUUUUAUGUCAUAUCUGCUGAAUAAACCUUAUGGAAAACACUGA
Etheostoma cragini (Arkansas darter) is the source of this 720-nucleotide long non-coding RNA. RefSeq lists it as uncharacterized. The transcript has 3 exons. Lineage: Eukaryota; Metazoa; Chordata; Actinopteri; Perciformes; Percidae. The record is from RefSeq and is a predicted model, not a curated record.